Molecule: non-coding RNA, 253 nt
Filed under: uncultured bacterium
Lineage: Bacteria
Also listed under: 1 other name
Description: partial 16S ribosomal RNA
Rfam family: Bacterial small subunit ribosomal RNA
Source: RNAcentral
UACGGAGGGAGCUAGCGUUGUUCGGAAUUACUGGGCGUAAAGCGUACGUAGGCGGCUUUGUAAGUUAGAGGUGAAAGCCCGGAGCUCAACUCCGGAACUGCCUUUAAGACUGCAUCGCUAGAAUCCGGGAGAGGUGAGUGGAAUUCCGAGUGUAGAGGUGAAAUUCGUAGAUAUUCGGAAGAACACCAGUGGCGAAGGCGGCUCACUGGACCGGCAUUGACGCUGAGGUACGAAAGCGUGGGGAGCAAACAGG